GUACCUGCAAUAUGCACACCACCUGCACGACAGCCGGAUGCCAAACCACCCCAUCCCCACUCGAGGACGCGCCGGAUCUGGGCAAGGAAGCCAGAUCCGGCCGUCCCCCUCACCACCAACGCCGGCCGACGCCUAGAGGGGCGCCGGAGGACGCCAGUGGCCGCCGCCGGAUCCGCGGCCUCCACCACCGCCGUCCCAAUGCCAUCGCCACCCACAUCACCACCCGGCGCACUCACCUCAGCCGCCACCGUCACCCGUCCCCGCCGCCGUCGUCGUCCCCGCCGCCGUCAUCAACCCCGCCGUUGCCGCCGCCGACCCCGCCACCAGCCCAUCCCCGGGCGGCUCCCCAGGCCGUCCAAGCGCAAGGAGACGAGGAGCGCCCCGCCGCCGCCGUCCUUGCGGCCGCGCGGCCUCGCCGGCGGCCGCUCCGGCGACAGCGAGGCGGAGAAGGGGGGUGGGGUGGGGGGAAGAGGGGCGGCCGGGUCGCCUCCCGAGCCGCCCCUGGGGAGAGCCGACUCUGGGGGAGAUCUCUUGUAUUUAUCUCCAUCUGCUGUAAAAAGAUAUCCAUUUGCUGAUAUCCUCUCUGAUGCAGCUAAUGCCCCUGCCCCUUGUCCAACGUUUCCUGCCCCGGACACAACCUGCGAAAGUCCUCAAGCCUGUGCUAAUCAGUGUGUUGCCAAUGGCUACCUGAUCGGAUUCUGCGAGAUCUUUACUUUGGGACUUGGGGAUUGCGUGUGCGUGAAAUGCCCAAAUGCCCAGAUGAUGCAUGCUGACCAUCUUCCAUUGCAGAGUCGCUUCCAAUAG
Molecule: long non-coding RNA, 804 nt
Filed under: Oryza sativa Indica Group (long-grained rice)
Lineage: Eukaryota; Viridiplantae; Streptophyta; Magnoliopsida; Poales; Poaceae
Description: lncRNA OsZS97_02G005320
Source: RNAcentral